UACGUAGGGUGCAAGCGUUGUCCGGAAUUACUGGGCGUAAAGGGCUCGUAGGUGGCCAACUAAGUCAUACGUGAAAUCCCUCGGCUUAACCGGGGAACUGCGUCUGAUACUGGAUGGCUUGAGGUUGGGAGAGGGAUGCGGAAUUCCAGGUGUAGCGGUGAAAUGCGUAGAUAUCUGGAGGAACACCGGUGGCGAAGGCGGCAUCCUGGACCAAUUCUGACACUGAGGAGCGAAAGCCAGGGGAGCAAACGGG
RNAcentral lists this ribosomal RNA (253 nucleotides) under uncultured bacterium. RNAcentral describes it as "partial 16S ribosomal RNA". It matches the Rfam family "Bacterial small subunit ribosomal RNA", at positions 524 to 776 of the family's 1533-position model. The record is from RNAcentral.